This 1126-nucleotide ribosomal RNA is filed under the name Companilactobacillus farciminis. Its description in RNAcentral is "bacterial SSU rRNA". It matches the Rfam family "Bacterial small subunit ribosomal RNA", at positions 340 to 1457 of the family's 1533-position model. Lineage: Bacteria; Bacillati; Bacillota; Bacilli; Lactobacillales; Lactobacillaceae. The record is from RNAcentral.
UACGGGAGGCAGCAGUAGGGAAUCUUCCACAAUGGGCGAAAGCCUGAUGGAGCAAUGCCGCGUGAGUGAAGAAGGUUUUCGGAUCGUAAAACUCUGUUGUUGAAGAAGAACAUGCGUGAGAGUAACUGUUCACGUACUGACGGUAUUCAACCAGAAAGCCACGGCUAACUACGUGCCAGCAGCCGCGGUAAUACGUAGGUGGCAAGCGUUGUCCGGAUUUAUUGGGCGUAAAGAGAAUGUAGGCGGUUUAUUAAGUUUGAAGUGAAAGCCCUCGGCUCAACCGAGGAAGUGCUUCGAAAACUGGUAAACUUGAGUGCAGAAGAGGAAAGUGGAACUCCAUGUGUAGCGGUGGAAUGCGUAGAUAUAUGGAAGAACACCAGUGGCGAAGGCGGCUUUCUGGUCUGUAACUGACGCUGAGAUUCGAAAGCAUGGGUAGCAAACAGGAUUAGAUACCCUGGUAGUCCAUGCCGUAAACGAUGAGUGCUAAGUGUUGGAGGGUUUCCGCCCUUCAGUGCUGCAGCUAACGCAUUAAGCACUCCGCCUGGGGAGUACGACCGCAAGGUUGAAACUCAAAGGAAUUGACGGGGGCCCGCACAAGCGGUGGAGCAUGUGGUUUAAUUCGAAGCAACGCGAAGAACCUUACCAGGUCUUGACAUACCAUGAAAAGCUAAGAGAUUAGUCUUUCCCUUCGGGGACAUGGAUACAGGUGGUGCAUGGUUGUCGUCAGCUCGUGUCGUGAGAUGUUGGGUUAAGUCCCGCAACGAGCGCAACCCUUAUUAUCAGUUGCCAGCAUUCAGUUGGGCACUCUGGUGAGACUGCCGGUGACAAACCGGAGGAAGGUGGGGACGACGUCAAAUCAUCAUGCCCCUUAUGACCUGGGCUACACACGUGCUACAAUGGUCGGUACAACGUGUUGCGAACUCGCGAGGGCAAGCAAAUCACUUAAAACCGAUCUCAGUUCGGAUUGCAGGCUGCAACUCGCCUGCAUGAAGCUGGAAUCGCUAGUAAUCGCGGAUCAGCAUGCCGCGGUGAAUACGUUCCCGGGCCUUGUACACACCGCCCGUCACACCAUGAGAGUUUGUAACACCCAAAGUCGGUGGGGUAACCCUUCGGGGAACUAGCCGCC